This is a non-coding RNA of Mesocricetus auratus (golden hamster), 893 nucleotides long. NCBI's taxonomy places the organism in Eukaryota, Metazoa, Chordata, Mammalia, Rodentia, Cricetidae. The record is from the annotation of a RefSeq genome assembly.
UUUUAUGUAUCUUACAGCAGAAGAAUUUGAACUCGCUAAAUGCCAUUCCAUUUGUUAUGAUCAAAGUGUGAACCUUCAGUGAGAACAAUAAUGCAUCCUUUAAGUGUUUACAUAGUGGUACUCUGGCUUCAAGUGAGGGGGGUGAGCAGCCAGCAGAAGGUACAGCAGACUCCGGAAUCCUUCAGUGUCCAAGAGGGAGCCGUGGCCUCUGUCAACUGCACUUUCAGCGAUAGUGCUACUCAGAACUUCUGGUGGUACAGACAACAUCCCUGGAAAAACCCCAAGGCUCUGAUGUCUGUCUUCUCCAAUGGUAAAAAGGAAGAAGGCAGAUUCACAGUUCAUCUCAAUAAAGCCAGCUUACAUGUUUCCCUGCACAUCAGAGACUCCCAGGCCAGUGACUCAGCUGUCUACCUGUGCGCAGUGAGCACACAGUGCACCCAUGGCACCAGAAGCCUGCACCCAAAUCCACUGAGCCCCAACAAGGCCUUUGAUAGAGCAAAGACUACAGGCUAAGGAAACUGUUUCUAUUCUAUAAGCAAUGGGAAAUAAGGGGGUUUGACUGAUUAAGUGUUUUGACAUUUUUGAAAAUAACUAGUCAUAAAGAGAAAGGCACACUGUUUGGCUGGAAUAUCUUCCUCUCUUUUCUUAGGUUGAUAAUUCUACAAUCAUGUACACACUCUUUACAUGACAAUCUUGUUGAGCUGGAUGAUACAACAUGACUGUGGGACUCACCUCAUGCCAUGUCAUAGAGAUCACCGUUAUCUCUACAACACUCUGAUUUGCUUCUUUUUUAAAUCUUUCAAUUAAACAAAUAGUUGUUUUCUAAAUUUGAAAAACUUGCUUACGAAGUAGCUAAUUUCUCAAGAGCAAUUUCAUACAUAUUUAUGUUUGGA